AGCCCAGGCACACUACUCGUGUGCGUUUCUGGAUUUGCAUUCCAGCGUGAACCACCACAGGGCUUG
This 66-nucleotide transfer RNA is filed under the name Acontias meleagris (Linnaeus' lance skink). RNAcentral describes it as "tRNA-Cys". The record is from RNAcentral. Lineage: Eukaryota; Metazoa; Chordata; Lepidosauria; Squamata; Scincidae.